AGGGGGCGAGCGUUGUCCGGAAUUAUUGGGCGUAAAGAGCUCGUAGGCGGUCCGUUAAGUCGGAAGUGAAAUCUCAAGGCUCAACCGCGGAUCAGCGUUGGAUACUGGCAGGCUCGACGGUUGGAGAGGCGAGUGGAAUUACCAGUGUAGCGGUGGAAUGCGUAGAUACUGGUAGGAACACCCAUUGCGAAGGCAGCUCGCUGGACAACACGUGACGCUGAGGCGCGAAAGUGUGGGGAGCAAACCG
Molecule: ribosomal RNA, 247 nt
Filed under: uncultured bacterium
Lineage: Bacteria
Description: partial 16S ribosomal RNA
Rfam family: Bacterial small subunit ribosomal RNA
Source: RNAcentral